CAAGGAUUUAAGUUAAAUUAAACUAACAACCUUCAAAGUUGUAAACAGAGAAACCCCCCUUCUUUAAGCCUU
RNAcentral lists this transfer RNA (72 nucleotides) under Lampyridae sp. 2 ACP-2013. RNAcentral describes it as "tRNA-Trp". Lineage: Eukaryota; Metazoa; Arthropoda; Insecta; Coleoptera; Lampyridae. The record is from RNAcentral.